CCUACGGGGGGCUGCAGUGGGGAAUAUUGGACAAUGGGGGCAACCCUGAUCCAGCCAUGCCGCGUGUGUGAAGAAGGCCCUCGGGUUGUAAAGCACUUUCAGUGAGGAAGAACGCCUGGUGGUUAAUACCCAUCAGGAAAGACAUCACUCACAGAAGAAGCACCGGCUAACUCCGUGCCAGCAGCCGCGGUAAUACGGAGGGUGCGAGCGUUAAUCGGAAUUACUGGGCGUAAAGCGCGCGUAGGUGGCUUGAUAAGCCGGUUGUGAAAGCCCCGGGCUCAACCUGGGAACGGCAUCCGGAACUGUCAAGCUAGAGUGCAGGAGAGGAAAGUAGAAUUCCCGGUGUAGCGGUGAAAUGCGUAGAGAUCGGGAGGAAUACCAGUGGCGAAGGCGGCCUUCUGGACUGACACUGACACUGAGGUGCGAAAGCGUGGGUAGCAAACAGGAUUAGAUACCCUAGUAGUC
RNAcentral lists this ribosomal RNA (465 nucleotides) under Vreelandella stevensii. RNAcentral describes it as "partial 16S ribosomal RNA". It matches the Rfam family "Bacterial small subunit ribosomal RNA", at positions 338 to 795 of the family's 1533-position model. The record is from RNAcentral. Lineage: Bacteria; Pseudomonadati; Pseudomonadota; Gammaproteobacteria; Oceanospirillales; Halomonadaceae.